GUGGGGCGCAGUGGCCCCUGCCUGUAGUCCCAGCUACUCCGGAGGCUGAGGUGGGAGGAUCGCUUGAGCCCUGGAGUUCUGGGCUGUAGUGCGCUAUGCCAAUCGGGUGUCCGCACUAAGUUCAGCAUCAAUAUGGUGACCUCCCGGGAGCGGGGGACCACCAGGUUGCCUAAGGAGGGGUGAACCGGCCCAGGUCAGAAAUGGAGCAGGUCAAAACUCCCGUGCUGAUCAGUAGUGGGAUCGUGCCUGUGAACAGCCACUGCACUCCAGCCUGGGCAACAUAGCGAGACCCCGUCUCU
This 299-nucleotide signal recognition particle RNA is filed under the name Saimiri boliviensis boliviensis (Bolivian squirrel monkey). RNAcentral's name for it is "Metazoan signal recognition particle RNA (ENSSBOG00000016501.1)". It matches the Rfam family "Metazoan signal recognition particle RNA". From Rfam's summary of the family: The signal recognition particle (SRP) is a universally conserved ribonucleoprotein. It is involved in the co-translational targeting of proteins to membranes. The eukaryotic SRP consists of a 300-nucleotide 7S RNA and six proteins: SRPs 72, 68, 54, 19, 14, and 9. Lineage: Eukaryota; Metazoa; Chordata; Mammalia; Primates; Cebidae. The record is from RNAcentral.